Cyprinus carpio carpio is the source of this 5050-nucleotide long non-coding RNA. Lineage: Eukaryota; Metazoa; Chordata; Actinopteri; Cypriniformes; Cyprinidae. The record is from Ensembl.
AUGAGUAAGUGUAAGAAAGAGUUGAGUGAGAGAGAGAGAGAGUUGAGUGAGAGAGAGAGAGAACGGCUGCUCAUCCGCAGGGCCAGCGGAGCCAACGCCUCUCAGCUGGCUCAUAUGGAAAAGAUGCUACAAGAAACCAAAGGCCUGCUGGAGAAGAAGACAGAGACGGAUUCAGAAAGCAAAGCCUGUGGGGACACUAUGGUGUCUGAUCUGGAGCAGAAGGUCCAGCGCAGCAAGCGAGACCGUCGUAACUCUCUCCACCGCACACAGCUGCUGGAGAGUCAGAUGAAGACGGUUCGCGGCGAGCUGGUUGGCACGCUUGACCACCUGCAGGAGCUGCGCAACAUACUGCGACGCUCGCAGCAGAACGCAGAAGAGCGGGACGCAGCCAUGCAAAAACUAGCUGCAGGGCUGAGGUGAGACACCACAUGUCUGCCUGCAGUUCCUGGGUUACCACAUCCAUUCAUCUCAUCUUAAAGACUUUAAAGCACUGUUCCUCUGAAAUAUCUGUUUGACUGCACAUCCAGAAUGAUGCUAUUUUCACAUUGGCUCAUACAUUCCUAUGCAACCAGAUGCUGUUGUAAAAUCUAUGUUAAAUGAUUGAAGCAUGCCACAGUUAUUUAAAGGGCGUGGUUUUAUUCUCUUAAGAUAGAAGUAGUUCUGUUUUGGCUGAUGAGAACUCUGUUUGGUAGCAUCCGGGUUUUAUAUCCUGUUGUCAGUGAAAUGCAGCAUUAAAGCAUAAUUUCAAUCAUAUAAACAAAUGUCUGUAUAAGUAUAUAGACAUCCAUUGAAUGCCUUGUUAACUUGUGUGACGGCUUCAGCCAAGUGUUUUUUUGUUUUUUUUUCUUCACAGGAUUCGUUUUGUAAGACCACAGAUUGUGUAUAAUGUCUUGUAGCUUUGAGUUGUUUCAUAUGUGAUACCUGCAAGAUCCAACAUUCCUUAAUAUGAAUGCUUUAGUCCUGUAUACUCAGAGACUCAACUGCUUUUAUCGUUUAAUUUAAUAUAUUGUUUAUUCCUUUUACAUGAUCUGCAAUAUUACAUGCUGUUUCAACAUUAAUAUUAAUCCCCAAUUCACCAAGUAAUGCUGAUGUAGAAUGUUUGUGUCUGGAUACUCAUUAAAAUAUCCAUAUGUCCUCCAGGUUGUACUUUAUGAAAAGAAAACAGAAACAUUAUAUCCAUUUCAGUUGUGGAUUUCCUCCACGUAUCCUAAAGAUCACUUUUUCAUGUUGCUUUCGGGAGUUUUAGUAUAAGAUUGAAUUUUAAAUCUACUUUUCUUUCCUCCACUUUGAGUGAAGUUCUCUCAAACUUUGUGUCCUCAUGCCACCCUUGUAAGUGAGAUAUAACACCACUGAUCUGCCCUCACUCACCUUACGUUGAAAGGGUAAUGGCCACAUUUUAUUAACUUAAGUAAAAUAUUGGCCAUGUUGUACAUGUUGUUUAAAUGAGGCUUUUAAGAUCAGGAAUUGAAUGUAUUGCAGAGGAGGAAAAAAUGGUAAAUCACCUUGUCCUUUGGAUUUAAGAGAAUGAGAUUAAACAUUCAGAGGAGGACCUGCAAACAAUGAAGGAAUGAGAGAUACAAAAAAAAUCUAGACUGCUUUGAACCUCCUCUCCACUCAUCCAGAACCUCUACGUACUAUCAGCAACACCAGACACCACUGUUCAUGCUGAUACACGUUGAAAAUCAUGCAGCAAACAUGCAAGAAAUUUAUUCAUUGUGAAAGACUGCAUUUAGAGUGGAGGAGAGCACUAAAGUAUAUCUGGUAUACAACAUCACAGCACACAAUUAUGGGAUGUUUUGUUUAUUAUUAUUAUUAUUAUUAUUUUAUGUAUAUAAUGUGGAUCUAAAGCACUUAGAUUGAAUCUACACUCUAAGUGUACAUUUUGUCAAUUAUAUGCCUCUUACGUGUAUUCCGUGGUGUCUUUUUUAACCUUUUUUUUUUUUUUUUUUUACAUUUUUUUAAUUAAUUAAUUUAAUUUAAAUAAUAGAUAUAUCAUUCAAACAUUUUCUUAAUUAACCUCACAAUUGCUGGGGGACCUGUGUCCUGCCUCACACAUCCACUUAAAAUGACCACGGCCAAGUAGAUGUAGCGAAUAGUUUGAUCAGAGAAGCAUUAACAUUUGUUUGCAAAUACCAUGUUACACGUCUAUGCUUCAUUACGUUUUGAGUUUUGUCUUCCUUGUCUUGUGACCUAGUUUUCCUAAGUUGUUUGAUUAGUUAUCAUGUCCACCUGAUGUCAAUUAAUGAACUCGUUAUUUCCCUUUGUUUGCCUUGUGUAUUUACGCCCUGUGUUAUCUCCUUCUGUUUGUCUGUGUUUGAAAGGUUGUUGUUAGUGGCUUUCCUGAGUUUAUGUAGUUUAAAGUUUGUCCUUUGGAGUAUGCAUGUUUCUAUACUAAUACGUGACAACCACUUGGAUUUUUUUUAAUUUUUAUUAUUAUUAAAUAUGAUGACAUUAUACAUAAGUGGGGGCUUAAGUGUCCAAAUGCUCUUUGGGGCCAGUUUAUGAGUCUGUUUGUUGACUUUGUAAUUUCUACUUCUAGUCAAGACUCAGAAUGACUGCUAUGUGGCCAUUACUAAAUGCCCCAGACAACUCUAAAUUAUAAACCCAAGGCACUUUGGUUAUGUGACUUUAUAUGAUCACAAUCAGGCUGUUGUAGCAUGUUUUUUUUUUUUUUUAAAUUAGAUGCACAAUUGUUCUGUUCUGUCCAAGAAAAGAGAUGUCAUGCUCUCUUAGGAGCACAGGACUUGUGUCUCUCAGAUUAGCAUCAAAACAAACCACACAAUCUGUUAUAUAAGCAGCUUUUCCCAGCCUGUUUGAUAACUGUUUACAUUAAGUUAGUAUGGUUUGCUUUGUUGUAAACAGACUGCAAUGCAUUGUAAUAGUUACAUUAUUCAAAGAUGUUUUGGUAAAGAGCAAGUACGAUCCUGUUUUGCUUGACAGAACACCUCAAAUAAAGAUUGAUGAAACUUUAGUGUGUCCCUAGUUUGCCUUUUCUAGUCCUAGCUGAUUGAAGCACAUUAUCUGUUUGCACGUUUGAAUGGCAGUCGUGUGAGUGAGACGUGGCAGGAGAGUAGCUCUGGUGGCAUUAGCAUGGCUGUGCCGUAAGAUCCCAGAAGUCAGCACCAGGAAAUGAAAGUGCUGGAGCAUCUGUUGGCCAUUCAGCACACGUGUUGCUCCCAAAUCUCUUCGAGAUCCACGUUCACAAGGACACAGGGAACUUGAGAAAUGUACAGGUCAGCCAUUAGUGGUUCAGAUGGACUGAUAUAUGGAAGGUCAUUUUUGUCUCAUAUUUAUGGUAAACUUUUCUUUUACAUGAAAUGGAUAAUAUAACGUCAGUGGCAGUAUGAGACAUGGUCAGGGUUUUUUUUUGUGUUUUUUGUUUUUUUGGAAUGCUGUGAUGUUUGGGAAGGGGAGCCAGAGUAAAUUUCCAUUGGCGCAGGAACAAAUCCAGAGCUGCAGAGAGAAUAAAGGCUCUCUUCGGGGAUUCACAUCCAACCCUUCCAAAAGCUUUAAUGAAAUGGGACAUUUAGUCAGUUCACAGGCCAAUUUGUGAUGUAAUAAUGUUAAAUUGGUACAUCUACCAAGAUUUAAAAUUAUUUUGAAACAGCAUCCAUCAGACUUUGUUUGGAAUUGUUGGAUAAUCGUAUAAAGCUUAUAGUGCUGGAUUUAUCCACAUUCCUGAUGGCACACUCCUCCGCUCGAAGACAAUAGCUCUAUAUCCCUGUCUUUUGUUGCAUGAGCACUAAAGCACAGUUUUGUAUUUGUGAAUUUGUGCAUGAAAGAGGUUUGUUUAAAUUUUCACAAUUGGAGUGUGUUACUGACCACUUCUGGAGGUGUAUGUGUGUGUGUGUGUGUGUGUGUGUGUGUGUGUGUGUGUGUGUGUGUGUACAUACACGUGUGAAAGCGUGUGUGCAGGUAUGUGUUUCUGUGUGUGCAGGAUUGUGUGUUAAGGGCAUGUGUGUUUAAUAGGCAGACAAUAGCAGAAAAUGCUGAGGUUGCGGUGAGGGGUUUAGGGAUUCUACAGCCCUCCCCCAGUCAUGAGAGGGUCUACGCAGGUGCACUCAAUCCUCUGCCUAACAGCCAUGUGACAACUAACACAUACAGACCCACCAAAUCACUUACUGCCAUACAGUGGGGUCUACCACAUUACUGUUUAUUAUAUCACGAAUUUCUAAUUGAAAAAUGUAAAAAUAUUCAGGACAUUGUAACAGUAAUAAGUUGAGAAAAUACUUUAACUAUGGUCAAAUAUAAAUUACCAACUGAAACAAUGCAGGAAGACUUUUCAACUUCUGUGACAACAGGUUUUCAAACAUUUUUCAUUACAAAGCUGGUUUAAUUCUGUAAUCAUUGGUCCAUAAAAAUGAUGGAAAUUAAACAAAUGUGAAAAUUAAGCAUAACUGGUUUGGCACACACUGUGUACCCAAAUGCAUGUUAAACUCGCAGCACAUGCAGUUCACUUGCUGUAUUUUCUGUAAACAUAGCUGCUAUGAGAUGCUGAAUAGACUGUACCAUUAGCUGGCUGUGUUUGAAAAAAAAAAAAAAAAAAGACUAUUUACUUAUUUAUUUUCACACUGUGGUAUAUGUCAACUUGCUGGCAGAUAAAUGAGAGAGAGAAAAAGCACAGGUGUUACCAGUCUAUCAACACCCUGCAAAAAAAAAAAAAAAAAAUCUAAAACCGUCUUUACAUUUUUUGGGAAAGAUAUAUAUAUAUAUAUACAUUUAGAAUACAUUUUAGUAAGAAAACUAUUACGUAAUGAAUCAUGUUUUGUACACGAUUUGUACAUGAUUUUGCACAUUCGCACAGUUAGUGAAUGUUUCAGGAAAUGGAAAAACUAAAAACAAUAACCUAAAAUCUGGUAAAGUUGCUACGAAAUAGUUAGUAUUCUGCAUUAUUUCUAUUUCUAUAAUAGCAUGUGCAAUGAAAAAGUAUUUACAUUUUUUAAAUUAGAAAAUUAUGUUAUUAAUAUAUUACAUAUAAUAUAUUACAUUACAAAAUACACAUUUUCGACAUUCACAUUUAACAUUCAGACAUUAUUGCUGUCAAGUCUGC